Molecule: non-coding RNA, 30 nt
Filed under: Rattus norvegicus (Norway rat)
Lineage: Eukaryota; Metazoa; Chordata; Mammalia; Rodentia; Muridae
Source: RNAcentral
UAGGAUGGUCUGAACCCCUGAUCUUUCUGC